UACAGAGGGGGCAAGCGUUAUUCGGAAUUACUGGGCGUAAAGCGUGCGUAGACGGUUAUUUAAGUCGGAUGUGAAAGCCCCGGGCUCAACCUGGGAAUUGCAUUCGAGACUGAAUAGCUAGGGUGCGGUAGAGGGAAGCGGAAUUUCCGGUGUAGCGGUGAAAUGCGUAGAUAUCGGCAGGAACAUCAGUGGCGAAAGCGGCUUCCUGGACCAGCACCGACGUUCAGGCACGAAAGCGUGGGGAGCAAACAGG
Molecule: ribosomal RNA, 253 nt
Filed under: uncultured bacterium
Lineage: Bacteria
Description: partial 16S ribosomal RNA
Rfam family: Bacterial small subunit ribosomal RNA
Source: RNAcentral